Molecule: ribosomal RNA, 451 nt
Filed under: uncultured organism
Description: partial 16S ribosomal RNA
Rfam family: Bacterial small subunit ribosomal RNA
Source: RNAcentral
ACACUCCUACGGGAGGCAGCAGUGGGGAAUCUUGCGCAAUGGGCGAAAGCCUGACGCAGCCAUGCCGCGUGAAUGAUGAAGGUCUUAGGAUUGUAAAAUUCUUUCACCGGGGACGAUAAUGACGGUACCCGGAGAAGAAGCCCCGGCUAACUUCGUGCCAGCAGCCGCGGUAAUACGAAGGGGGCUAGCGUUGCUCGGAAUUACUGGGCGUAAAGGGAGCGUAGGCGGACAUUUAAGUCAGGGGUGAAAUCCCGGGGCUCAACCUCGGAAUUGCCUUUGAUACUGGGUGUCUUGAGUAUGAGAGAGGUGUGUGGAACUCCGAGUGUAGAGGUGAAAUUCGUAGAUAUUCGGAAGAACACCAGUGGCGAAGGCGACACACUGGCUCAUUACUGACGCUGAGGCUCGAAAGCGUGGGGAGCAAACAGGAUUAGAAACCCUUGUAGUCCCAUGA